Molecule: non-coding RNA, 74 nt
Organism: Canis lupus familiaris (dog)
Lineage: Eukaryota; Metazoa; Chordata; Mammalia; Carnivora; Canidae
Source: Rfam
UGAGUCAGUGGUGAUGAAUGAUGGUGGGUGAGUCAUGGACAAUGAAUACCAUGUGUCUGGAUACCAAGGUCCAA